UACUCAUCGAUUAUCCUUUGCUUGCGACCGGAAGAAAUUAUCCAAAUGCAAACGAAUCAGGUCAUGGAGAUCAUGAAUCUCCACCGGGAAUCUAAGAAACAAUGCUUGAGAAAAACACACAGUGGUCCAUGGUAAAGUGCGAGAAUGGGAUGGUGAAUUUGGUUAAACAUCAUGUAUGGUAGGCGGCUGUACAUAUUAAAUGCGAAUGUUUGUUCUGUAUAUUGAGAAGAUUGAGCGUUUUGGUAUGCUAGAUCAA
Non-coding RNA from Corylus avellana, 256 nucleotides. The record is from RefSeq and is a predicted model, not a curated record. Lineage: Eukaryota; Viridiplantae; Streptophyta; Magnoliopsida; Fagales; Betulaceae.